Molecule: small nucleolar RNA, 95 nt
Filed under: Microdochium bolleyi
Lineage: Eukaryota; Fungi; Ascomycota; Sordariomycetes; Xylariales; Microdochiaceae
Description: A. fumigatus snoRNA Afu_335
Rfam family: A. fumigatus snoRNA Afu_335
Source: Rfam by way of RNAcentral
UUUCAUGAUGAAUCCCAGAUAGGGACAGCUUAUACCUAAUGGUAUUUGAUGAGACGCCCUGGGCUCGUAUUUUAGUAGAUGCUGAGUUUCUGAAC